Long non-coding RNA from Maniola jurtina (meadow brown), 99 nucleotides. RefSeq lists it as uncharacterized. The record is from RefSeq and is a predicted model, not a curated record. The transcript has 3 exons. NCBI's taxonomy places the organism in Eukaryota, Metazoa, Arthropoda, Insecta, Lepidoptera, Nymphalidae.
AAAGAUUUGUAUUUAUUUGUUUGCUUAUCUGUAAUCGAUAAAAUCUGAAACUACUGAACCGAUUUUGAUCAUUCUUUUACCAUUAGGAAGCUACUAUAU